GGCUGCAGUAUAUUGACUGUACAAAGGUAGCAUAAUCAUUAGUUUCUUAAUUAGAAGCUGGAAUGAAUGGUUUGAUGAAAAAUUAACUGUCUUANAUUAGAUGGUUUAGAAUUUUAUUUUUAAGUGAGAAAGCUUAAAUUUUUUAGAAAGACGAGAAGACCCUAUAGAGUUUUAUGUUUAUAAAGUAAGAUGUUUAAGGUUUUUUAUUAUGUUUUAUUUUUUAGGGCAUUUUGUUGGGGUGACAUAAAAAUUUGUUUAACUUUUUAUUAUUUUUACAUUGAUUAAUGAUUUUUUGAUCCUAUUUUUUAGAUUAUAAGAUUAAAUUACCUUAGGGAUAACAGCGUAAUUUUUUCUGAAAGUUCUUAUUGAUGAAGAAGUUUGCGACCUCGAUGUUGGAUUAAAAUUUAUUUUUGGUGUAGCAGCUGAAAUAUUAGGUCUGUUCGACCUUUAAAAUUUUACGUGAUCUGAGUCAGGAACCGG
This 480-nucleotide ribosomal RNA is filed under the name Gonocephalum reticulatum. RNAcentral describes it as "partial 16S ribosomal RNA". It matches the Rfam family "Bacterial large subunit ribosomal RNA", at positions 1929 to 2620 of the family's 2925-position model. The record is from RNAcentral. Lineage: Eukaryota; Metazoa; Arthropoda; Insecta; Coleoptera; Tenebrionidae.